GCGACCCCAGGUCAGGCGGGACYACCCGCUGAGUUUAA
Molecule: ribosomal RNA, 38 nt
Filed under: Eurybia radulina
Lineage: Eukaryota; Viridiplantae; Streptophyta; Magnoliopsida; Asterales; Asteraceae
Description: partial 26S ribosomal RNA
Source: RNAcentral